GGCCAAGCGUUAAUCGGAAUGAGUGGGGUUAAAGGGUGCGCAGGCGGAACCGUGCGUGUCUUGUGAAAUCCACAGCUCAACUGUGGAAUUGCUCGACAUACGACGGGUCUUGAGCCCGACAGAGGSCGUCGGAACGAUAGGUGGAGCGGUGAAAUGCGUAGAUAUCUAUCGGAACGCCGAAGACGAAGGUAGGCGGCUGGGUCGGAGCUGACGCUCAGGCACGAAAGCGUGGGUAGCGAACGGGAUUAGAUACCCCGGUAGUCCACGCCCUAAACGAUGUGUACUAGAUCGGGGAGGUUUUGACGCCAUCCCGGUCGAAGCUAAAGCGUUAAGUACACCGCCUGGGGAGUACGGUCGCAAGAUUAAAACUCAAAGGAAUUGACGGGGGCUCACACAAGCGGUGGAGCAUGUGGCUUAAUUCGAAGCAACGCGAAGAACCUUAUCAGGGUUUGACAUGCACGGAUUAACUCGAUGAAAGUCGAGCCACGCCUUCUGGUGGAACGUGCACAGGUGCUGCAUGGCUGUCGUCAGCUCGUGCCGUGAAGUGUCGGGUUAAGUCCCUUAACGAGCGAAACCCUUGCCGCUAGU
This 588-nucleotide ribosomal RNA is filed under the name uncultured Planctomycetota bacterium. RNAcentral's name for it is "bacterial SSU rRNA". It matches the Rfam family "Bacterial small subunit ribosomal RNA", at positions 532 to 1115 of the family's 1533-position model. The record is from RNAcentral. Lineage: Bacteria; Pseudomonadati; Planctomycetota.